This is a long non-coding RNA of Mauremys reevesii (Reeves's turtle), 307 nucleotides long. RefSeq lists it as uncharacterized. The record is from RefSeq and is a predicted model, not a curated record. The transcript has 2 exons. NCBI's taxonomy places the organism in Eukaryota, Metazoa, Chordata, Testudines, Geoemydidae.
AACCACCUCUCAUCCCUAGAAAUAUGGCUGUGGCCAGGAAGCAAGAGAGCCCAGCUGCCUGUGAUCUCCGCUUGGCCUGCUCCCUGGAGAAGAUGCCAACAGCACCCACGCUGGUGGAAGAGUGAAACAUCCACUAACCCCAUGAAGCAUAGGGACUGGGGCACAGUGUCAUCUUGUGGACUAUGCAGGAAUCUAACAGGAAAUCAGAUAGAGAGACGGACAGAGGUUACAGCCCGAGUCAGAUACUGAAUCAUGUCUCAUCAUCAGAUUGUUGAUGUAAUUGCUAAGUAAAAGUAUCUCACCAACA